RNAcentral lists this long non-coding RNA (3631 nucleotides) under Jatropha curcas. Its description in RNAcentral is "long non-coding RNA (JCUR_LNC000537)". Lineage: Eukaryota; Viridiplantae; Streptophyta; Magnoliopsida; Malpighiales; Euphorbiaceae. The record is from RNAcentral.
AAUUUUUGGAUCCGUAUCUAAGCUCUGGGGCGAUGUUGAUGUGGGAGUGAUAGUAUGUGGUCCUCCAAAUCUGGAGUCAAGUGUUGCUGCAGAAUGCAGAUCAAUUAACAUGUGCAGAAAAUCCGAUGAUCCGGUUUUCCAUUUCAACAGUCACUCUUUCAGUUUCUAGUUUCUAUUUCCUAUUUUGUUGGGACUACAAACAUCCAUGUCUCUUAUUAGCAAUAAUGUCUGAUAAAUGAAUCUAAGUGCAGAUGAAAGCAAAACCUAUAGUUUAUGAAAGAAUACUCACAGAAUGCAGCAUUACUUGAAACUUCUUAUACUCGCAUAAGUUACUGUCACCUGAGUAAGAGGAGUACAUAAACUGAAAGCGGAAUCAGGAAGCCAUUCUACCGAUGAAGUCUCAAGAUGUUGUCAAAUAAGCUCAUAUUAGUAUACAAAAAGCAGGUUGUUAGUUAUGCUAAUUUAGUUAGUUAUGUAACAGCACAACUAUCUCAAGGUAGAAAAGCAGCUCCUUGCCCUCACUUUCAAGAAUGAAGUUUGCUUACCUGUAAACUUUUAGUUGCCAUCUCCAAUUUCACUUGCUAAUAUAGAUGUUGCGACUUCAAAAGCACUAUUUCUAUUUACAAGUGUCCUACCUCUGUUACCUUGCAAAACAUUUUUACCGCAAGGCAAAUCCAUAACCAAACUUUCACUCUUGAACUUGAGUCUUAUUAAGAGUCUUUUCCCAAUUUUAUUUCCCACUAACAACAAACAAAUCAGGGAGAAAAAUUUUGAGAAAUGAAAAUUUGAAAAUAUUAACCGUUAACUUGUAAGUAAGAUCUCUAAGGUUUAGGGCAGAAACCUUAAUUCCAGUCCGCCCAUCAAAAGAAGUUCCGUAUCUACUUAAUUGAUUUUAACAUGUUGUUGCACAAUGUAUAGCAUGUUCUCAGAUGUAUGUGCGUGAAAUGAUUUAGUAUAUUUAUGAAAAAUGCGUCCGCAUUAUGAGUAUGGAUUUUGAAAAAUUUUGACAUAGUAUGAUUUAUUUAUUAAAGAGAUGAUAGCAUGGCAAUAUAUGAAAUCUAUUCUUAUGAUAAUAUUGGAGUUUCAAUGUAUGAGCGAUGAUGCUGAAAUAUAGAAGAGUUUUGGCUAUCAAGAUUUUAAUUUGGGACUAUUGUAACGUAAGGGAAGCUAUUAUAGUUUUUCUGUAGAAUUUUUCGGAAAAAUUUUUAAGUCACAGUUUGAGGAUCCACAAGAAUUGAUAUAUAAGAGUGCAUGAUGUAUAUUAGAUUAAGUUUAUGAUCUUAGCAUGUUUAGUCAUGUGCCUCUGGCUCAAAAUUGACAUCCGUUGUCUAAUCUUUUAGGACUAAAUAAUGAGUGUUACAUAUAUAAUAUGUUGGACCUACUCAUUUCUAUGAGUGUCAAUGUGUUUAUUCUAAUUCUCCAAUCAGGUAAAAUAAAACUUACCACCUUCAUCUUCAUUAAUACAUCAUACUGAUAAUGAAAAAACAAAUAGAUGUAAUGAUCUUCUAAAUAAAAUGUACCAAAUGAAAGUUCCUCCGACCAUAAACAGUUUAAAGUAUUUGUACUAGAGAGUUUGUCCCUCAUAUUCACUGAAAGAAGAUGUAUUUCGUAUCUCAUAUUGUACAAUGACUUUCCUAUAUAUAGUCAUACAGCUCAAUACCCUAACUAUAUACAAUUAGGAAACUAAUCUAUACAAAUCAGAUCAAACUAAUUAUACCAACAGAAUAUUACAUAUUCUAUUAUAAUAGAAUAUGUAAUAUUCUGUUGGUAUAAUUAGUUUGAUCUGAUUUGUAUAGAUUAGUUUCCUAAUUGUAUAUAGUUAGGGUAUUGAGCUGUAUGACUAUAUAUAGGAAAGUCAUUGUACAAUAUGAGAUACGAAAUACAUCUUCUUUCAGUGAAUAUGAGGGACAAACUCUCUAGUACAAAUACUUUAAACUGGUCGAUCUUCUUUCUUCUUCUAUUUCUAUUCCUUCUUAUUCUCUUCAUCGCCAAUUUUAUUCCUUUCUGAUGGCGGACAAAAUUCAAAAUUCAUACGUAAUAUACAAUUUAUUCGAAAUUGAUCAAUUUUAAUAGGAAUUUUGAACUAAGAGACUAAAUAAAUAUAUUUUUUAACUGAAAUGAGUGUGUCGAUUAAGUCACUGAGCAAAAAUGAAAAUGCGUUUAAAUUGAGAGAAAACCAUGUCAUUAUUUUUUUUUCCAUAAUGUCUUUCACACACGUUAGCGGGUCAAAAAAUGGAUCAAAUUCAUCUUUGGGUUGAAAAUUCUUAUUAAAUUGAUUAAAAACUCCAUUUUGGAGUACAUUGAAAUCAUGAAUGUUGUUGGGGUAAAUUUAGCAUUAUUUGAACAAAUAAUAUGGACUAACUAAAGUUUUUGUAUUUUCAUAGGUAUGAAAAUCUUGUUUUAGUAGCAGGUGGAAUUGGGAUAUCGCCAUUCAUUGCCGUUCUGAGUGAUGUUAUUCAUCGUAUUAAUCAAGGAAAGACAUGUCUUCCGAGAAACAUUACUCUUGUUUGGGCUGUGAAAAAGUCAGAUGAGCUUUCUCUUCUUUCCACAAUUAACACGAACUCACUUGUUCCUUUACCUUUUGAUGUGCUUCAUCUCGAGAUACUUAUUUAUGUCACUCGAGAACAAGAAUCUCCAAUGGUAAGUUUCAUAUUAAAUUAUUCUUGCUGCUAAUUUUCUUCUACAAGAAAAUAAUUUCUUUCAAAUUCAGUAAUUAGCUUGAUCGAUAACAAAUUAUUGUCACUUCUAUCAGGAAAUCGGAGCAUUGUACGAGACUGUGAGAUCUGCCUCUUCUAUCUCUUCUUUCUCCAGUGGGAAUGCCAUAUCUGCUCUAGUUAGCACAGGGAAUAAAACAUGGUUUGGAGCUUAUGUGAUAUCAUCAACAGUUGGCUUGGUCCUGUUAAUGACUUUACUAAAUGUCUUUUAUAUAACCCCAUUUAAUAUAACUAAUUGGUGGCAUCAAGGAUUGCUUCUUCUAGCCUGCAUGGUUGGCGGUGUUGUAAUCUUUGGUGGUGCUGUGGUUGCUUUAUGGCAUAUCUGGGAGAAGAGAAACUUAGUAGAGAUCAAUGGCGGACAGGGAAAUGAACACACAGUAAACGAGGAUUCAUUUUUGGAAAAUCUUGCCGGCUCAACUACUGUUCAGUAUGGAUCAAGACCAGACUUUAAAGGUACAUUUAAAUUCAUAUGAUCUUAAAUCACAGUGAACUAAAUAAAAUAAUGAAAUGUCAAUAAUGACUUCUCUGCCUGCAGAAAUUUUUGGAUCCAUAUCUAGGCUCUGGGGCGAUGUUGAUGUGGGAGUGAUAGUAUGUGGUCCUCCAAAUCUGGAGUCAAGUGUUGCUGCAGAAUGCAGAUCAAUUAACAUGGGCAGAAAAUCCGAUGAUCCGGUUUUCCAUUUCAACAGUCACUCUUUCAGUUUCUAGUUUCUAUUUCCUAUUUUGUUGGGACUACAAACAUCCAUGUCUCUUAUUAGCAAUAAUGUCUGAUAAAUGAAUCUAAGUGCAGAUGAAAGCAAAACCUAUAGUUUAUGAAAGAACUACUCACAGAAUGCAGCAUUACUUGAAACUUCUUAUACUCGCAUAAGUUACUGUCACCUGAGUAAGAGGAGUACAUAAACUGAAAGCGGAAUCAGGAA